GAUGAACGCUAGCUACAGGCUUAACACAUGCAAGUCGCGGGGCAGCAUUCCUUAGCUUGCUAAGGAAGAUGGCGACCGGCGCACGGGUGAGUAACGCGUAUCCAACCUUCCCAUGUCCACGGGAUAGCCCGUCGAAAGGCGGAUUAAUACCGUAUGAGGUCACAUGCGGGCAUCUAAUUGUGACGAAAGGUUUAGCGGACAUGGAUGGGGAUGCGUCCGAUUAGCUAGUUGGCGGGGUAACGGCCCACCAAGGCGACGAUCGGUAGGGGUUCUGAGAGGAAGGUCCCCCACAUUGGAACUGAGACACGGUCCAAACUCCUACGGGAGGCAGCAGUGAGGAAUAUUGGUCAAUGGACGUAAGUCUGAACCAGCCAAGUAGCGUGCAGGAUGACGGCCCUAUGGGUUGUAAACUGCUUUUAUGCGGGGAUAAAGUGAGGGAUGUAUCCCUUUUUGCAGGUACCGCAUGAAUAAGGACCGGCUAAUUCCGUG
RNAcentral lists this ribosomal RNA (489 nucleotides) under uncultured bacterium. RNAcentral describes it as "bacterial SSU rRNA". It matches the Rfam family "Bacterial small subunit ribosomal RNA", at positions 28 to 507 of the family's 1533-position model. The record is from RNAcentral.